UGGUGUGUGGGUCCAUGCUUGCAGCUGGGGAGGCUUCCCCGGGCACGGCUUCAGCCUGAGUUGAUGGACAUUUCUUUCAGUACAGUCAGGCUGUCUGAGUCACGGUGACUGAAAUAGAAGGACCGUGUAUGGAACUGAAACAAGGGGCAAGUGUCCUGAAACUCAUUCCCCUGAUACAGCACAGGGUGACCCUAAGGCCUGGGACACAUAAUGGAAGCCCUGCUGGUGGAGAGAGGUAGCCUGUUCUGCACCCUUCCCUGACGUCUUCUGAGGGCAAGCUGAGCCAGAGCCGCCCUGGAGGGCCAGUCCCUGUGAGCAGAAAUGCGUCAGUGCUUGCCAGCUUCUGUCGGGUUAGAGGCCAUUGUAAAACAGCCUCUCCAGAGCACUCGGCUUAGAAAGAGGCAGGGAGGGCCAAGGAAGAGUUUUAAACUGAUGGCAUCUCUGCGCAAGAUGCUAAACUCUGUCUCUUUUGGGUCCUUAUCUUCAGCUGCCACUUCCAGCUUCUGAAGGCUUGGGCUGAAUAUGGAGAAUCUAGCCAUCCUUGAACAGCCAUUGGAGUUUCACCUCAUUGGUGAUCUGGUUGCUGUACUUGGCAUGGAGGAGGUUGGGAGUAUCUGUCACAGCCGUGUACUUGAAUGACCCAGGAUGCUGGCGGUAUUUGCUCUGCGAAAGGAAAGAGAUAAGCGUCCCAGGAACAACACAGGGAACACCACGCAUGAAGUUCAAGUCCGAGCGGUACAGAUUCUACGAGGCAUAUAUAAACAUCAGAAGAUCCAAACUCUGCACAGAGAAGCAAGAGAAGCCAGGGUCUCUGGACACCAUCUAGGAGCGCAUGGCUAGGACCCCAGGCUGUCUGGGUCUGUCUGUACAGAUGUGGCACCAUUCAACAACGCGGCUCCUGCUUCUCUGCAAAGGCUUACCAGGGGAAAAUGUGGGUCAGAAGGAAGUCACUCGGCUGUCACUUCUCGAACAGGCAUAGGGAUAGGGAGCUGGGCAUGCCACCAGAGGAGUGAAGAUACCUCACAAGGACUAAGAGGACCCUGGGAGGACCCUGGGAAACAGCAAGAAGGUUUUCCAUCCAACCUGAGGCCAGGGACAAAUCCUGAAAACCCACAAACCCAUGUGGCAUCUCACCCCAUUCUCUCACAUACAGCUGACCCGAUUUAGAUGACUGAGUUCCCUCCCGUGUGUCCUCUACAACUUCUCUGAGUAGUAAGAACGAUUAGCAUAGGGAUAUUGUGGGGAUUAAAUGAAGUAAUUUCCAAAUACAACGCUUUGAAUUCAA
Long non-coding RNA from Mus caroli (Ryukyu mouse), 1285 nucleotides. RefSeq lists it as uncharacterized. Lineage: Eukaryota; Metazoa; Chordata; Mammalia; Rodentia; Muridae. The record is from RefSeq and is a predicted model, not a curated record.